Long non-coding RNA from Xenia sp. Carnegie-2017, 181 nucleotides. RefSeq lists it as uncharacterized. NCBI's taxonomy places the organism in Eukaryota, Metazoa, Cnidaria, Anthozoa, Malacalcyonacea, Xeniidae. The transcript is spliced from 3 exons. The record is from RefSeq and is a predicted model, not a curated record.
CAAAUGCUCGUGUAAAAGAAGCGCCUCGUGUUGUUUUCACUGGCCUUAAUCCCAGAUCAGUAAGACGUAUGACUGACAAAUUGGUUGAGUUAGGUGGAGAUACAUCAACAUCGACUAGAACAUGUACACACAUUGUUGCUACUAAAAUAAUGAGGACCAUUAAGUUUCUAACAGGAAUCUC